This is a small nuclear RNA of Ailuropoda melanoleuca (giant panda), 104 nucleotides long. The record is from Ensembl. Lineage: Eukaryota; Metazoa; Chordata; Mammalia; Carnivora; Ursidae.
GUAGCUUUAGCAGCACAUAUACUAAAAUUGGAAAGAUACAGAAAAGAUGAGCAUGGCCCCUGCACAAGGAUGACACAUAAAUUUGUGAAGCAUUCCAUAUUUUU